Molecule: long non-coding RNA, 975 nt
Organism: Nicotiana tabacum (common tobacco)
Lineage: Eukaryota; Viridiplantae; Streptophyta; Magnoliopsida; Solanales; Solanaceae
Source: RefSeq, a predicted model, not a curated record
AGUGGACACGGUUUUAGGUGGGCAACAUUCAUUCUUAUUAAUGAUAUAGAACAGAAAUGGAGGCAAAAAAAAUAAGGGGUUUCACGGAAAAGGGGCUUCUUCUCAUUCCCUUUUUUUUUUUUUUUUUUAAUUUUGUUUUAGGUUCCAAAAUCAAAAAAUAUAAAAAGAAUAAUAUAAUUCUGCCUUCCUUUUAUUUCGAUUUUGGUGUCCAAAAAUGGAGAUCAAUUGAGGUUUGGAGUUCAAUUCGAGCUGUUUCUGGUCGUCGAUUUCCGUCCGUAGCUUCGGUUGCGGCUGAUGAUUUCAAAGCCAAUUUUUACAUGCUUUUGCAGUGUAACUCAAAGUUUGGAAGGUUGCAAUUCGUGAGUACUAAAGAAAAAUUAUUCUUCUGUGAAGGAAGAUUAUCAUAAAAGGUUGGAAGAAUGGCAACAAACUCAGCCUCCUUCAACUCAACCAACACUUGAUGAUAUGACUUCAUUGUGGAGAGAGGCAGCAGGUGGAGCAAACAAAGGCAGAGUCUACAGACUAGGAGUACAUCGACCUAUAGGUCAUCCAAACUCACUCUUAGCCAAUUCUUCGUCUCCUCAAAAUCAAGAACAGAUGGAAGAUAUGAGAAAGGAAAUUCGUGAAUUGAAGCAACAAUUGGACUCCAAAUAUGGAACAUUUGUUAAGAUGCAGAAAUUCAUGCGUAAACAUGGGCAUGAUUUAUCUGAUGAUGAGGAUGAACAAACUGAAUCGAUGUGUAGUAGUUUAGUUGUGAUGUUUUCGUUGAUUGGUAAACUUGAUUGCGAGAGACAACUUUAUGUAUUGCUUUUAGACUUGAAUGUGGACUACUAUUUGGAUAUUUUUAUGCCCAAAAUUGUUAAGUUUAAAGGUUGGUAUUGUUGGUUUAAGUUGUGUUAAUGGUUGGCAUUGUUGGUUUAGAUUUUGUUAAUGUAUUAUUGGUUCGUAUUAUUGUAUUAAUGUAUCGUUGGUUUA